UGCUGAUGAGGGCUGAGGAAGUCUAGUUUGCGGCUGCUGUUUGAAAGACCGAAUCCGUGGUCGAGGAUUUCGACGCCCUAGAAGAUGACUUAAGGGCAGGGGCCUCUUCAGAUGUGCCGGGAGCAGAGUUGUCGACAGCAUCAACCAGCGCUCUAGGAUGUUCCGAGGAGUCCGGCACAGGCGCGGACUUAAUCCUAUCGUGUGCAUUCACAGAGGCCACGAAGAAGAAUAAAAAUAUUUUGUUACUACUAAUAGCAAUACAGUAAUUGAGUGAUUACAAAUUAGUACUCGUUCCCCUCUUAUAUCAUAUGGAACGCAUAGAUAUUAUUCCCCUAAUAGGUAAUGGGUACUAAUUAGAUUACCAAGCCAAAGCCAAAAAUUACAACUAGUAAGGAAUAUGUCUUAGUAUCAUUCAUGUUAGGUGAUGGAAGAGUAUCCAAACCAUGGACAAAGUUGAUAAAGGUUCUUAUCAACUGGAACUUAUGGAGGAAUUGACUCAUUAAAUCCCCACUGAUUCAAUGGACCGAUGCUAAUGCAAUUUACUAUGCUAAACAACAAAAUUUGGGUCUGUGAUUUAAU
Pogona vitticeps (central bearded dragon) is the source of this 579-nucleotide non-coding RNA. The record is from RefSeq and is a predicted model, not a curated record. NCBI's taxonomy places the organism in Eukaryota, Metazoa, Chordata, Lepidosauria, Squamata, Agamidae.